GAUGAAGAACGUAGCGAAAUGCGAUAAGUAGUGUGAAUUGCAGAAUUCCGUGAAUCAUCGAAUCUUUGAACGCACAUUGCGCCUUCUGGUAUUCCGGAAGGCAUGCCUGUUCGAGAGUCAUUAACAACCGUUUCGAUCCCUUUCUUUCAGAAAUUACAAAGAGGAAAAGGGUUUGGUUAUGGUGGAGGAGGGAAAGGGAGCGUUUAGCCUGUAAAAAAAGAGGCUGUGUUCCGACUCCCCCCCAAAAUUGUACAGGCGGUCGUGUGCGCCCACGCAUCGAGGUGAUGUAAAAGCUGCCACGGCACUUUUCACCUGUGCAGUGCGAGAUUGGCCAGCCGAUUUAAAAACCCCUCCAAACAAUCAAAGGUUGACCUCGGAUCAGGUAGGGAUACCCGCUGAACUUAAGCAUAUCAAUAAGCGGAGGA
Molecule: unclassified non-coding RNA, 425 nt
Filed under: soil metagenome
Description: partial contains 5.8S ribosomal RNA, internal transcribed spacer 2, and large subunit ribosomal RNA
Rfam family: 5.8S ribosomal RNA (bases 1-120)
Source: RNAcentral